RNAcentral lists this ribosomal RNA (490 nucleotides) under Xylella fastidiosa. RNAcentral describes it as "bacterial SSU rRNA". It matches the Rfam family "Bacterial small subunit ribosomal RNA", at positions 40 to 524 of the family's 1533-position model. Lineage: Bacteria; Pseudomonadati; Pseudomonadota; Gammaproteobacteria; Lysobacterales; Lysobacteraceae. The record is from RNAcentral.
CGGCAGGCUUAAUACAUGCAAGUCGAACGGUAACAGCAAAAAGCUUGCUUUUUGGCUGACGAGUGGCGGACGGGUGAGUAAUACCUAGGAAGCUGCCUGAAUGAGGGGGAUAACACCUGGAAACGGGUGCUAAUACCGCAUAAUGCCUACGGGCCAAAGGGUGGGCAACCACUCGCAUUCAGAUGCGCCUAGGAGGGAUUAGCUAGUUGGUGGGGUAAAGGCCUACCAAGGCGACGAUCUCUAGCUGGUCUGAGAGGAUGACCAGCCACACUGGAACUGAGACACGGUCCAGACUCCUACGGGAGGCAGCAGUGAGGGAAUAUUGGACAAUGGGGGAAACCCUGAUGCAGCCAUGCCGCGUGUGUGAAGAAGGCCUUCGGGUUGUAAAGCACUUUCAGAUGGGAAAAAAGUAGUAAUUCGAAUAGGGUUGCUAUGUGAUAUUACUAUCAGAAGAAGCACCGGCUAACUCCGUGCCAGCAGCCGCGGUAAU